UACAGAGGGUGCAAGCGUUAAUCGGAAUUACUGGGCGUAAAGCGUGCGCAGACGGUUGCGUAAGUCAGAUGUGAAAACUCGGGGCUCAACCCCGGGCGUGCAUCCGAUACUGCCGGGCUUGAGGCAGGUAGGGGAGAUCGGAAUUCCUGGUCGUAGCGGUGAAAUGACGCAGAUAUCAGGAGGAACACCGGUGGCGAAGGCGGAUCUCUGGGCCUGUCCUGACGCUGAGGCGCGAAAGCUAGGGGAGCGAACAGG
RNAcentral lists this ribosomal RNA (255 nucleotides) under uncultured bacterium. Its description in RNAcentral is "partial 16S ribosomal RNA". It matches the Rfam family "Bacterial small subunit ribosomal RNA", at positions 524 to 776 of the family's 1533-position model. The record is from RNAcentral.